RNAcentral lists this RNase P RNA (334 nucleotides) under Flavobacteriaceae bacterium. RNAcentral's name for it is "RNase P RNA component class A". It matches the Rfam family "Bacterial RNase P class A". Rfam says of the family: Ribonuclease P (RNase P) is a ubiquitous endoribonuclease, found in archaea, bacteria and eukarya as well as chloroplasts and mitochondria. Its best characterised activity is the generation of mature 5'-ends of tRNAs by cleaving the 5'-leader elements of precursor-tRNAs. Lineage: Bacteria; Pseudomonadati; Bacteroidota; Flavobacteriia; Flavobacteriales; Flavobacteriaceae. The record is from RNAcentral.
UGAGCUGACUGAGUAAUCGCUAACUUUGUUAGAGGAAAGUCCGGGCUCCAUAGGAUAAGACGCCAGGUAACUCCUGGGAGUAACAGUGUUACUACGGCUAGUGCAGCAGAAAAUAAACCGCCUUUUAAGGUAAGGGUGAAAAGGUGCGGUAAGAGCGCACCGUAUAUUUGGAAACAAAUAUAGCUAGGUAAACCCCGUCUGGAGCAAGACUAAAUAGAGAUUCNAUAAUGUUAUCCGCAUUGAAUCUGGGUAAGUUGCUAGAAAUAUAUGGCGACAUAUAUUCGAGAUGAAUGAUUACAUAAAACAGAACCCGGCUUAUGGGUCAGCUCUCUCA